Non-coding RNA from Zonotrichia albicollis (white-throated sparrow), 1946 nucleotides. Lineage: Eukaryota; Metazoa; Chordata; Aves; Passeriformes; Passerellidae. The record is from RefSeq and is a predicted model, not a curated record.
CAGGGACCCCCCUCUGCCCGGGGGGGAGCUCGGGGUAUUCCCCUUUAAAGGCCAAUCCCCCAUGCGGGCUCUGGGGUUGGGGUUCCCGCACCUUUGGGCUGUGCCAGGACGGGGGUGCGGUGCCUUUUGGGGUGCUCGAACCCCGCUUUGCGCGGUGUUUUUGUCUCGUUUUAUCCCUAAGGCAUUUGGGGAGCCCCGCCGGGAGUGGGGGAGCCCCGCGGGUCCGGAGGCUGCGGCUGCUGCAGCGCCAAAGUAGGUUAAAAUAAGGAGUGGGGAGGAGGAAAAGUAGGUUAAGGAAUACUCAGCUGGGAAAAAAGGUAGCAGCCGUGUCGGGUCUCUCUCUUCUUUUUUCCCCCGUUUUUUAUUUUUUGCCGGAGCUGGAAAAUGCCAGGGCUCGGAGCCAAGGAGCCGGGAUGCUGCGGGAUGCUGCGGGGCCGGGACGUGCCGCUGCCGGGGUCGAGCGCCGCCCCAGCGCUCCCUGGGGAUGCUUGGACUUUAAUUCUGGAAUUUCGUGGCGUCCCGGUCGUUGCCACCGCUCCCCCGGGAGUGCGAUAUGCCGAGUUUCGCUCCAUCUGCCGGCCAAUCCCUCCUUGUCCCGGGCAGUCUCCAGCAGCUGCUCCCCGAAGUUUUCCCGAACAGUUGCUCCUUUUUCCCUCCGUUUGUUGCAGGAGCCUCGGCUGAAACCCUGUUCCCCCUCGGGGAGGGGAAGCCCUGGCUGGAAUCCCGGCGGCAGCUUUGGGUUACAGAUUCUAUUACGGGGAGCUGGGAAUGCACGGCUCAUGUGAUCCGGAGGGAUCUGGAGAGGUUUCCAACACCGAGUGGCCUCUCCUGCUGUGUUGGCAUUGGUACAGAGGUCAGGUGGGGUUCGGGGCCUGGAGUGUCCCCAAAAACAGCCGGCUCUGGCACUGUGGGGUUGUAUUCUGUCGGUUUGAGGAGUGCAUCAGGGCAGCUGGGGAUUUGUGCCUGCAUACCCCAUCCCCGCUUGGGAUGGCCCCAAAAAGCGGGUGCUGAGCCCUUGGCAAAGCUCCAGUGCCAAGCAGGAGCUGGCACCCUCUGCUCCCUGCAGCUCCUGCAUCCCUAUGGCAGCGUUUUGUUCAUCUGAGGGAUGCCCUUAAUCCCUGGAUUAAGCUUGGCCUCAAAUCAGCUUUACCCCUGCUCCUGGUGGUGGUUAGAUCCAGUUAUGCUGAUCUGGAAUGCUCGUGGUCCCUCAGCCACGGUGGGACCUUCCUGUCCCCUCCUGAGGCCAUUUCUUCCCCAGACAUCUCAGUCUGGGAGGAAACUGGAGUACAGAGGAUGCUCAUUUUUGGGUCCUGCUCAUUCUGGAUGUCCCAACCCACAUCCUAUAAACACCCAGCUCACCCCAGGACCCCCCUCAUGUGGGAUUAGCUGCAUCUCAGCGUGGUGCUGGCCACUAAUUAGGAGAAACUCGUCAGGCCCAGGCUGUAAUGAGGCUCCGCCAGGGCUCUCACAGGACCGUGACGACCUGGGGGGAAUUUCCAUGCAGGCAGCAGGAUUUCCAUGCGGGCGGCAGGAUUUCCAUGCGGAGGCUGGAUCCGGGUUUGGGUUAUUAUUUACUUUUCCUUCCUUCCUCUGUGCUGUCAGCAUAGAUUUUAAUUUUAGCAACCAAUUGCUGAGCUCGAAGAGGGGGGGAUGAGGCUCUGGGAAACACCUCUUGCUUUGUUCAUGUUGUUAUUUAAAUAUUUUAAAAUUGUUUUUAGUGACUUCAUUUCCUUGUGACAGAUGCAAAAGGAUUUCCUCUGGAGCAGGAAAAAAACCUUUCUUUAACUUGGUUUAGCAUCAUCUGCUCCUUGCAUGAAUGGUGUGAGGCCUCUCCAAGGUGAUGAAGAGGAGCAGGUGAUGAAGAGGAGUGGGAUGCACUGGUGGCUUGUCACCGUCCUGGGGGUGCUGAGCGGACCUGCCCGGGGAACCGGGAGCUGCAGCGCCCC